RNAcentral lists this ribosomal RNA (505 nucleotides) under uncultured Pseudomonadota bacterium. RNAcentral describes it as "bacterial SSU rRNA". It matches the Rfam family "Bacterial small subunit ribosomal RNA", at positions 355 to 851 of the family's 1533-position model. The record is from RNAcentral. Lineage: Bacteria; Pseudomonadati; Pseudomonadota.
UGGGGAAUAUUGGACAAUGGGCGCAAGCCUGAUCCAGCCAUACCGCGUGGGUGAAGAAGGCCUUCGGGUUGUAAAGCCCUUUUGUUGGGAAAGAAAUCCUGUCGGUUAAUAACCGGUAGGGAUGACGGUACCCAAAGAAUAAGCACCGGCUAACUUCGUGCCAGCAGCCGCGGUAAUACGAAGGGUGCAAGCGUUACUCGGAAUUACUGGGCGUAAAGCGUGCGUAGGUGGUUGUUUAAGUCUGCUGUGAAAGCCCUGGGCUCAACCUGGGAAUUGCAGUGGAUACUGGGCGACUAGAGUGUGGUAGAGGAUAGUGGAAUUUCCGGUGUAGCAGUGAAAUGCGUAGAGAUCGGAAGGAACAUCUGUGGCGAAGGCGACUAUCUGGGCCAACACUGACACUGAGGCACGAAAGCGUGGGGAGCAAACAGGAUUAGAUACCCUGGUAGUCCACGCCCUAAACGAUGCGAACUGGAUGUUGGGCACAACUUGGUGCCCAGUAUCGAAG